Molecule: long non-coding RNA, 314 nt
Organism: Cygnus olor (mute swan)
Lineage: Eukaryota; Metazoa; Chordata; Aves; Anseriformes; Anatidae
Exons: 2
Source: RefSeq, a predicted model, not a curated record
GUUGUUUUGAGCUUUCUUGAUGAAAAGCUGUACAAGUGAAACACAGUUUAGUGAAUGUCACCUUCGUGGAUAUCUGACUAUGGCAAAUGUACCAUGAUGUCAGCCUGCUGGAAUGCCUUAGUAAGAGCUUCCUUCCUCUGAAUACUGGUAAGAACCAUGGAAGAACUUCCAUCCAUAAACCAAAGCAAAAGGCUAAAGGAUAUAAAAAAGAACUGCCAGCUCUGGCACAGUGUUACAAAAAUAGUCCCCUUUUUGUACACAAGAUUACUACAAGGUACACAAGGUACCUCCUUGAGCUCAUCUUCUGCAUGCCC